UACGUAGGGGGCAAGCGUUGUCCGGAAUCAUUGGGCGUAAAGCGCGCGUAGGCGGCCCGGUAAGUCCGCUGUAAAAGUCCAGGGCUCAACCCUGGAAAGCCGGUGGAUACUGUCGGGCUAGAGUCCGGAAGAGGCGAGUGGAAUUCCUGGUGUAGCGGUGGAAUGCGCAGAUAUCAGGAGGAACACCGAUGGCGAAGGCAGCUCGCUGGGACGGUACUGACACUGAGGCGCGAAAGCGUGGGGAGCGAACAGG
RNAcentral lists this ribosomal RNA (253 nucleotides) under uncultured bacterium. RNAcentral's name for it is "partial 16S ribosomal RNA". It matches the Rfam family "Bacterial small subunit ribosomal RNA", at positions 524 to 776 of the family's 1533-position model. The record is from RNAcentral.